GUAGGGAAUCUUGCGCAAUGGGCGAAAGCCUGACGCAGCCAUGCCGCGUGAAUGAUGAAGGUCUUAGGAUUGUAAAAUUCUUUCACCGGGGACGAUAAUGACGGUACCCGGAGAAGAAGCUCCGGCUAACUUCGUGCCAGCAGCCGCGGUAAUACGAAGGGGGCUAGCGUUGCUCGGAAUUACUGGGCGUAAAGGGCGCGUAGGCGGACAGCUUAGUCAGAGGUGAAAGCCCAGGGCUCAACCUUGGAAUUGCCUUUGAUACUGGCUGUCUUGAGUUUGGGAGAGGUGAGUGGAACUCCGAGUGUAGAGGUGAAAUUCGUAGAUAUUCGGAAGAACACCAGUGGCGAAGGCGACUCACUGGCCCAAUACUGACGCUGAGGCGCGAAAGCGUGGGGAGCAAACAGGAUUAGAAACCCCUGUAGUCC
RNAcentral lists this ribosomal RNA (425 nucleotides) under uncultured bacterium. RNAcentral's name for it is "partial 16S ribosomal RNA". It matches the Rfam family "Bacterial small subunit ribosomal RNA", at positions 354 to 796 of the family's 1533-position model. The record is from RNAcentral.